This 468-nucleotide ribosomal RNA is filed under the name uncultured bacterium. Its description in RNAcentral is "partial 16S ribosomal RNA". It matches the Rfam family "Bacterial small subunit ribosomal RNA", at positions 28 to 507 of the family's 1533-position model. The record is from RNAcentral.
GACGAACGCUGGCGGCGUGCUUAACACAUGCAAGUCGAACGGAAAGGCCCUGCGUUUGUGGGGUGCUCGAGUGGCGAACGGGUGAGUAACACGUGAGUAACCUGCCCUUGACUUUGGGAUAACUUCAGGAAACUGGGGCUAAUACCGGAUAGGAGCUCCUGCUGCAUGGUGUGGGUUGGAAAGUUUCGGCGGUUGGGGAUGGACUAGCGGCUUAUCAGCUUGUUGGGGGGGUAGUGGCUUACCAAGGCUUUGAAGGGUAGCCGGCCUGAGAGGGUUACCGGCCACAUUGGGACUGAGAUACGGCCCAGACUCCUACGGGAGGCAGCAGUGGGGAAUAUUGCACAAUGGGCGGAAGCCUGAUGCAGCAACGCCGCGUGCGGGAUGACGGCCUUCGGGUUGUAAACCGCUUUCGCCUGUGACGAAGCGUGAGUGACGGUAAUGGGUAAAGAAGCACCGGCUAACUACGUG